Molecule: long non-coding RNA, 622 nt
Filed under: Salvia miltiorrhiza (redroot sage)
Lineage: Eukaryota; Viridiplantae; Streptophyta; Magnoliopsida; Lamiales; Lamiaceae
Description: long non-coding RNA (SMIL_LNC000225)
Source: RNAcentral
GAGGAAUUUUGCUGAUACAAAUUCGAGGGUCUUCUUUAUUUACUCAUCGGAGUUGUUUACCUUGCACUCUUAGGUGACUCUCAAUUGGCUUUUAUUCAGAUUCUGGGUGUGCUCGGAUCUGGGCCAUUGCGAGUUUUGCCUUUAAGUUGCUGGUUACAUCUUCACUUGGCGUACUUCGACAACUUUGACUCUUGAUUGAGGCCAUUCAAUUGAGGAUUUUUGCUUGGAUAUACUUUUCUUUUUGGAAGCGUGGAUAUUUUGCUUUUGUGUGGGCUAUCUCGUCUACUCCAACAUGGUUCGGGUGAUGUUUAACUUGCACUUUAGGCGGCUCAAUUGGCUUUAUUCAGAUUCUGGGUGCGCUCGGAUCUGGGCCAUUGCGAGUUCGACUUUUAAAGAUUGCUUGUUACAUCUUCUCUUGGCGUGAUUCUAUGUGGACUAGAUGACUCAAUUCUUUAAUAGGUCUUGGGUGCGCUCGGACCUAGGAUUGCUCGAGUCUAGUUCCAAUGGAGUUGUUACUUUUGGCGAGCGCAUGCUUCCGCUCCACUACUACCAGGUUUAAUGGAGUUGUUACUUUUGGCGAGCGCAUGCUUCUACUCCACUGCUAGGUGUUAUAAAGCUCGAA